RNAcentral lists this transfer RNA (64 nucleotides) under Engaeus cunicularius. Its description in RNAcentral is "tRNA-Asp". Lineage: Eukaryota; Metazoa; Arthropoda; Malacostraca; Decapoda; Parastacidae. The record is from RNAcentral.
AUAAAAAUUAGUUAACUUUUAUAAUAUCAGCUUGUCAAGCUCAAGUAAUCUUCGGAUAUUUUUA